RNAcentral lists this long non-coding RNA (1317 nucleotides) under Heterocephalus glaber (naked mole-rat). Its description in RNAcentral is "lncRNA (ENSHGLG00000035860.1)". The record is from RNAcentral. Lineage: Eukaryota; Metazoa; Chordata; Mammalia; Rodentia; Bathyergidae.
GGCCAGGCCCCAGUGUUCUCCAUUGGGCCCCCUGCGCCAGCUGACUGGGCUUUAACACUCCGCUGCCAACUCGUUCCUGGCCCGAGCCUGGUCUCGGGCCGCCCCGGCGCAGCCUGCGGCGCCCGCUCUUACAUCCUGCCCGCAAGGGAUCCGUGCACCUGAGGCCACAGCACACCUGCUGGCCCUUGGGCCUCGAGCGGGGAGGAGGGUCAGGGUCAGCUCAACUCUUGCCCGAGGGUCCAUGUGAGAAAGACGUUGGGCACCAGGAUCAGCUCCCCGAAGCCAAAUCCUUGAGCCCACCUGCCCAGUGGACGGGACACAGGCCAAGUCCAUCCUGCGCUGCGCGGAAAAUAGAAGAGGAUGACAACUUCCCAAGGAGCCCAGGAACUCCUGGAGCAGGGCUGGUGGGAACUGGCCUGGGGACAGAAGAAGACAGCCUUGUUCCAUCCUGUGCUAAAGCCAUGCCAGUCCCCCACAAACCCAGGGCACAGCCACACUGGGUAGUGAUCACAUGGCCCCAGAGUGUUCUGAAAGGUCCAGAUAUGGGGCUUCAACUGUCCAGGAGGGCAGGCCAGGGAAGACCUGCCCCAGCCCACAGCUCGUGCAUGCGCUGCACGAGGUGUUUGUGCACCCCCAAACUCAGCCCUCAUGAUGCACCCCAUGGGAUACCACCCUGUUGUAUGGGAGAAGCAGUAAAAUGCCUACGUAGUCCUAGGUGGGGCUCUGAGAUCGGUUUAGUCCGGGAACUCGGCAGAAAUGCGGCCACUUCACAUAGUCCGUCCACUGUCCAAGUAGUCCUGCUGCUCCCCCUGCUGGCCAGACGAGGAACUCGGCCCGCGGACAGCAGCAGCCCCACCAGCAAGUGGCUCGCUCACCCUCCUGGGGACGGCAGUAAGGAGUAGACUUAGUGUCUUGAGCUCCUGAAAGUGAGAUGUUUCUUCGGUGACCGGCAUUAGGGACUCUGGCUAGCACAUAUGACAGGCAAGUACUUCUGCGAGCACUGGUAAUAAGGAAACCUGCCAGAGGAGAUUAAAUCCUCCCUGAAGAUCCAGGUGGUCAACGCAGAGUGAAUCCACACAAUCCAAUUCCCCGCCCGAGCUCCCAGCCUGAUUCCUGAGCUCUACUGUGGGAAAGAUCCACAAAUCAUCACAGAUACGGUCCCAGCCCUCCUGGACGCUUGUUCUUCGGGGAAACCGAUGCAGUUAAACCAGCUCAGUUCUGGAGGAGCCAUACAUGUGCCUGUCCCUGCAACACCCCCACUACUGGUCGGUCCAGCUGUAGAGACUGAGGCUCCCCGCGGGAACCACAAAAGUGCGG